RNAcentral lists this long non-coding RNA (1589 nucleotides) under Junco hyemalis (dark-eyed junco). RNAcentral's name for it is "lncRNA (ENSJHYG00000013465.1)". Lineage: Eukaryota; Metazoa; Chordata; Aves; Passeriformes; Passerellidae. The record is from RNAcentral.
AUCUGGGAAAAUUCAGGAAAAAUUAUCCCAGAAAAUCCAGGAAAAUAAUCUGGGGAAAUCAGGCAGGAAAAUCAUCUGGGAAAAUCCAGGAAAAUAAUACAGGAAGAUCCAGGAAAAUCAUCUGGGAAAAUUAUCCUGGAAAAUUCAGGAAAAUAAUACAGAAAAAUCAUCCAGGAAAUUCUGGGAAAAUCAACCAGGAAAAUCAUCUGGGAAAAUCUGCCGGGAAAAUAAUCUGGGAAAAUCCAGGAAAAUUCAGGAAAAUGGUCUGGGAAAAUUCAGGAAAAUUGUCUGGGAAAAUCCAGGGAAAUAAUGCAGGAUAAUCUGGAAAAAUUAUCCUAAAAAAUAAUCUGGACAUUAUCCAGGAAAAUAAUCUGGAAAGAUCUGGGAAAAUCAGUCAGGAAAAGAAUCUGGGAAUACCGGGAAAAUAAUCCGGGAAAAUCCAGGAAAAUAAUCUGGAAAAAUCUGGGAAUACCAGGAAAAUAAUCCGGGAAAAUCCAGGAAAAUCGUGUGGAAAAAUUCAGGAUAAUAACCCAGGAAAUUCUAGGAAAAUCAACCAGGAUAAUCAUCCAAGAAAAUCCAGGAAAAUCAUCCCAGAAAAUCAUUUGGGACAUCUGGGAAUACUGGAAAAUCAUCCAGGAAAACAAUCCAGGAAAAUAAUAUAGGAAAAUGUGGAAAAAUCAUCCUGGAAAACAUGGGAAAAUGAUUUGGGAAAAUCCAGGAAAUUCUGGGAAAAUCAACCAGAAAAAUCAUCUGGGAAUACUGUGAAAAUCUAGGAAUUAGGAAAUUAUUAGGAAUAAUUAGGAAAAUCAAUUAGGAAAAUCAAUAAGGAAAAUCAUGUAGGAAUACUGGGAAAAUAAUUCUGGAAUAUCCUGAAAAAUCAUCUGGGAAAAUCACCCAGAAAAACAAUCCAGGAAAAUCAUUUUGGGCCCCAAAUUCUGGCACAAAUUAAAACCUAAAACUGUGACUCCUCCCCCAGCUCGUUAAUUUAAACAUUAAUUUAAAUGCUAAUUUUUAAUAUUAAUUAAAAAUAUCCCCUAAAAAGAAGGAUAUAAUUAAUGAACUAAAAAUGAAGCAGAGGCUUAAUUUGGCAGAGCUUGUGCCCCAAUUAAGGGGUGAAACUGUGGCUCCUCCUCGGUAAUUAAUGAAAAUAAUUAAUUAGAAAUAGAUAAAAAUAAUCAGGAAAAGGAAUGGGCUACAAAAGCAUUCUAAUUAAAAAGAUUCUUUGUUUUGCUUUGACACAGGUCUGGUGCACCCCAAAUUAAUGUAUCAAACCUAAUUAACCAGCUUUAAAAUUAAUUAGAUAUUAAAUAUAAAUAUAUUAAAAUAAUGAACCAGCUUUAAAAUUAAUUAGAUAUUAAAUAUAAAUAUAUUAAAAUAACGAAAUAAUUGAUGAACUAUAAAUGGAUCCAAACUAAGCAAAGUCUUAAUUUGGACUCAAACCUGCCCCAAUUAAGGGGUGAAACUGAGGCUCCUCCCCCAGCUAAUUGAUUGAUUAAUUAACUAGAACUACAUAAAAACAAUCAGUAAAAUUAAUGAAUUAUAAAUGCAUCAGAAAUAAACAAAGCCCUGAUUUGGCUCUGCUGGGGAGA